This is a long non-coding RNA of Dendrobium catenatum, 750 nucleotides long. RefSeq lists it as uncharacterized. Lineage: Eukaryota; Viridiplantae; Streptophyta; Magnoliopsida; Asparagales; Orchidaceae. The transcript is spliced from 2 exons. The record is from RefSeq and is a predicted model, not a curated record.
UUCGGCGAAGGAUUUGCUCGAGGGAUUUGACGCUAGAAGCCUCCGGAUUCGCACUAGAAGGAAAAAAGGCCUCUCACAUUCCUUCCUGUCCAGGCAUUCGCAUGCUCUAAUAGGGACCGAACACUCUCCCUCUCGAUCUCUCUAUCGAUUUCGCACAGCCAGACGAUGGAUCUCUCUCUCUCUCUCUCUCUCUCUCUCUCUCUCUCUUCAAAGAAGUAAGGAGCCGCAGCCCCCUUCCUCCUGCGGCUUUCCUGGUUUUAUGAGCAGAAGUCGAAGACCCUCUCCCCCUCUCCGACUAGCUUUAAUUCUCACAACUCAGACAAAAAAUCAUGAAGAAGAGAUAUUCCAUCAACAGAACAUAUAUGAUCAUCAGAAGAAUUAGAAAUGCCAAAACAGAUACUUUAAAUAGCUAUCUGUUGGCAAGUCAGCUGAGUCAUCUACCAGCCAUGUGUUCUUCAUCAGCUGUUGCGGCCUUGUGCUAAAUACAAUCUCAUCUUCUGAUGGGAUGCCUCUUAAAUGAUUUAUGAAGAUUCAGUGUGCGCAUGUGAUAUGUUUUUUAUGGUUAACAGAAGAUACAGUGGAUAAUUUCAAGUUUUGGGUUCUCAAGCAUUGAUGUUGAAUGGUUAGAUCGUAAAAAUAAGUAUAAAAUAACAAGUCAUUAAUAGGGCAUCAUCAGAAAAAAGAAUUAUAUUGAUUUAAUGAGUAGAAUAAUUUGCAACAUUAAUUAACAUAGUUGAUUUGUCCACUUUA